Molecule: long non-coding RNA, 133 nt
Organism: Thalassophryne amazonica
Lineage: Eukaryota; Metazoa; Chordata; Actinopteri; Batrachoidiformes; Batrachoididae
Exons: 3
Source: RefSeq, a predicted model, not a curated record
UGUGUAUGCAAAAGAAACUAGCUGAAUGUGAGUUGAAAGAAUUAUUUGACUUACUGAGAAAGCAUUACGUUCCAAAGAUGAAUUACAUUGCAGAGAGAGAUAAAUUCCACACCAGAAAAUAAAGAAUGGACGA